Molecule: ribosomal RNA, 398 nt
Filed under: uncultured bacterium
Lineage: Bacteria
Description: bacterial SSU rRNA
Rfam family: Bacterial small subunit ribosomal RNA
Source: RNAcentral
GGAAUAUUGGACAAUGGGCGCAAGCCUGAUCCAGCCAUGCCGCGUGAGUGAUGAAGGCCUUAGGGUUGUAAAGCUCUUUUAGCGGGGACGAUAAUGACGGUACCCGCAGAAGAAGCCCCGGCUAACUCCGUGCCAGCAGCCGCGGUAAGACGGAGGGGGCAAGAGUUGUUCGGAAUUACUGGGCGUAAAGGGCGCGUAGGCGGAAUAUCAAGUUAGGGGUGAAAGGCCCGGGCUCAACCUGGGAACGGCCUCUAAAACUGAUAAUCUUGAGUCCGGAAGAGGAUGGCGGAAUUCCCAGUGUAGAGGUGAAAUUCGUAGAUAUUGGGAAGAACACCGGUGGCGAAGGCGGCCAUCUGGUCCGGAACUGACGCUGAGGCGCGAAAGCGUGGGGAGCAAAC